RNAcentral lists this long non-coding RNA (828 nucleotides) under Homo sapiens (human). Its description in RNAcentral is "long non-coding RNA NONHSAT157209.1". The record is from RNAcentral. Lineage: Eukaryota; Metazoa; Chordata; Mammalia; Primates; Hominidae.
GGCGGCCCAGGCGGGGGUCUCCCCCGGGGCCUGGGGCGGGCCGAAGAUGUCCAGGCCUGGCCGGAGCCGCCUCCUGAUUGACGAGGCCCGCAUGGGAGUGCGGACGUGCAGCACAGAUUUGCGGGUCUCCUGGGCCUCUUGGGCGGUGAUCAGCGCGGACCUUGGGCCAACCGGGGAAGCAGGCCGGAGCACUACCCCCCACCCCCAUUUUAGAACAUCCUUCUGAGGGCUUCGCUGACCUCGGCUUGAACUCCUUCAGAGCCGGAGAGAUCACUCCUUCCACCACCGAGGGAGAGGAGGCAAAAUGAAUUUGCCAGCUUUGAAUUCAUUCUCAAGGCUCCGCUAGUCUCACAGCCAGUGAACUCAGUCUGGAAUUCCUGAAAGCUCAGAAAACUGCUGCUUAGGUGGCAGCUGAGCAUCCCUGGAGAGGGUGGGUGGUAUGAAAGCACUUCCAGACCUCUAGGGACACCAGGGAGUCAUGGUCCCAGCACAUUGCUGUGUGAUUGAGCCCCUCCUCAGCCUGUGGGUGGCCUAAGUUCACAGGGAGGUAAUGGGGUAGAUUGGAUACCUCUGGGGUCUUGGAAGAAGCUAUGACUUAUUUACUGUCUACUAUGUGACUGAGAGGCAACGUGGGCCUGUUGAAAGAGCGUGGACUUUGGAGCCGCAUGACCUGGCCCUCAAUCCCAACCCUGCGACUCAGAGCUGUGAGCCCUCGGGGAGCUCACAACACCUUUGGGAGCCUCAGUUUCCUUAUCUGUAAAGUGGGGAUGGUGAUAACUACUUCCAAUGUGGUUUUGAGCAACUGGUAGGAUUAGAAAUGUCAACCCC